Molecule: long non-coding RNA, 1436 nt
Filed under: Marmota monax (woodchuck)
Lineage: Eukaryota; Metazoa; Chordata; Mammalia; Rodentia; Sciuridae
Source: RNAcentral
CAUUAAGUAGCUUUCUGUUACUAUAUCAAAUACCUGAGAUAAUCAGCUUAUUAAAAGAAAAGGUUUAUUUAUUUUGGUUUACAGUUUAGAGAUUUGAGUUCAUGAUCAGUUGGCCCUACUGCUUUGGGCCUGUGGUGAGACAGUUCCCAUCAUUGUGGGAACAAUUGGCUGGGAAGCAAAAGAUAGGGAGAGAGGAAGGGGCUGGGUUCUGUCCCCUUCAAAGGAAUGCAUUCAGUGACCUGAAGACCUUCCACUAGGCCAUCACCUCUUACAGGUUCACUACCUCCCUAUAGCACCAAGCUGGGGUUCAAGCCUUUAACACGUGGGCCUUGGGGGACACUGCAGAUUAAAAUUACAGCAAGCAGUGAGCUUAGUGUCACAGACCUCUUUGAGAAUACUGAAGUUGGCCUAGGUUUUCUAUUACAAAGUUUCAUUUUUGUUCUUUGUAGGCAUUUUAUGUACUGAACUGAUUGGUUCUCUGGAAAGUUUGGUUUAAUGAGAACUUCAUUAGAUUUAAACCUAUAUAAAUUAGUUUUAGGUUUCAGCAUUCAUAUUUGAAAAUGAAACCAGAUGUGUCCUUUGAAAGUAUAGACUUCAAUGUUGAACAGACUUGGUGUCAGUGGCCACUACUCUGGCCAGCUCUGAGUCUAGGCAUGGCACUUGACCUCACUUGUUCUAUAAUGUGACAGUCUUAGUCGCAGUACCAGAGUCUCCUGAGGACUAGCUGGUCUGAGUGUCUGGAGGAAUGCUCACAAUGAGUCCAGUCUGUUUUCUCUCUCUCCUUCAGGACUGGCUCAGAAUAACAAAUAUUAUUAUCUUAUGGUUUCUAUGGGUUAAGUAUCCAAAUACAGUUUAGCUGGGUCCUAUGACUCAGGAUCUCUCACAAGAUGGAAAUCAAGAUGUUGGCUUGUUUUAUGGUCUCAUCAGAAAGCUUGUCUAAAAGCUGCAUUUCCUUGGAGGCUGUGGACAGAGACUUUCUCCACUGCAUGCCAUGGCUUCUCCAUGAGGGAACUCACAACAUGGCAGUGAGUGAGGAAAACAGGGUGGCCAAAAUGGAAGUCCAAGUCUCUUCAUGACCUAGUUAUAGACGUGAUACCCAUUGUGUUAGAUUCUCUCUGUUGGAAGGGAGUCAUUGGGCCCACCCUAUAUUCAGGGCAGAGGACUCUGCAAGGUAUAGGUACUAGGAGGUGGGAUGUGGGGGCCAACUUGGUGUUACACACCAACCUAGGUGAGGAGAGACCUUUUAUAUCAGGGUCCCAUCAUCUUCCCAGAAUAGCUAUACCAUCCCUUUUAUUAUUACUUCAGCAAGUGGGGUCCCAUUUUGAUGUCUCUGAACCAGAAGUGUUCUUCUAUGACAUCUUUUUUUUUCUUUAAUAGAUGCCUUCUUUCCUCACUUACAUAGAUUCUCUGUAUCUUUUUAAUUGUUAUUGUGUAGA